GACGAACGCUGGCGGCGUGCCUAAUACAUGCAAGUAGAACGCUGAAGGAGGAGCUUGCUUCUCUGGAUGAGUUGCGAACGGGUGAGUAACGCGUAGGUAACCUGCCUGGUAGUGGGGGAUAACUAUUGGAAACGAUAGCUAAUACCGCAUAAUAGCAGUUGUUGCAUGAUAACUGUUUGAAAGGUGCAAUUGCACCGCUACCAGAUGGACCUGCGUUGUAUUAGCUAGUUGGUGGGGUAACGGCUCACCAAGGCGACGAUACAUAGCCGACCUGAGAGGGUGAUCGGCCACACUGGGACUGAGACACGGCCCAGACUCCUACGGGAGGCAGCAGUAGGGAAUCUUCGGCAAUGGACGGAAGUCUGACCGAGCAACGCCGCGUGAGUGAAGAAGGUUGUCGGAUCGUAAAGCUCGGUUGUAAGAGAAGAACGAGUGUGAGAGUGGAAAGUUCACACUGUGACGGUAUCUUACCAGAAAGGGACGGCUAACUACGUG
Molecule: ribosomal RNA, 495 nt
Filed under: uncultured bacterium
Lineage: Bacteria
Description: partial 16S ribosomal RNA
Rfam family: Bacterial small subunit ribosomal RNA
Source: RNAcentral